This 253-nucleotide ribosomal RNA is filed under the name uncultured bacterium. RNAcentral describes it as "partial 16S ribosomal RNA". It matches the Rfam family "Bacterial small subunit ribosomal RNA", at positions 524 to 776 of the family's 1533-position model. The record is from RNAcentral.
UACGAAGGGGGCGAGCGUUGUUCGGAAUCACUGGGCGUAAAAGGCGCGUAGGCGGCCCUCUUAGUCGCGUGUGAAAGCCCCGGGCUCAACCUGGGAACGGCGCGCGAAACGGGAGGGCUGGAGUUCGGGAGAGGAGAGUGGAAUUCCCAGUGUAGAGGUGAAAUUCGUAGAUAUUGGGAAGAACACCGGUGGCGAAGGCGGCUCUCUGGACCGAGACUGACGCUGAGGCACGAAAGCUAGGGGAGCAAACAGG